CUUGAUAGCCCUUUACAUUCACUAUCCGCCCGGGUACUACGAGCGUUAGCUUAAAACCCAAAGGACCUGGCGGUGCUUUAGAUCCCCCUAGAGGAGCCUGUUCUAGAACCGAUAAUCCCCGUUAAACCUCACCCUCUCUUGUCCUUUCCGCCUAUAUACCGCCGUCGUCAGCUUACCCUGCUGAAGGAACCAUAGUGGGCAAAAUUAGUACAACUCAAAACGCCAGGUCGAGGUGCAGCAUAUGAGAGGGGAAGAAAUGGGCUACAUUCCCUAUUUCAGGGAAUACGAACCAUGCAAUGAAAUGUGCAUAGAAGGUGGAUUUAGCAGUAAGCAGAAAACAGAGCG
Molecule: ribosomal RNA, 345 nt
Filed under: Steatocranus bleheri
Lineage: Eukaryota; Metazoa; Chordata; Actinopteri; Cichliformes; Cichlidae
Description: partial 12S ribosomal RNA
Rfam family: Bacterial small subunit ribosomal RNA
Source: RNAcentral